AAUUCGAUUAGUUUGAUCAUGGCUCAGAACGAACGCUGGCGGCAGGCCUAACACAUGCAAGUCGAACGCCGUAGCAAUACGGAGUGGCAGACGGGUGAGUAACGCGUGGGAACAUACCCCUCGGUUCGGAAUAACUCAGGGAAACUUGAGCUAAUACCGGAUACGUCCGAGGUUUUAAUCGACCUCGGAGAAAGAUUUAUCGCCGGAGGAUUGGCCCGCGUCUGAUUAGCUUGUUGGUGAGGUAAUGGUUCACCAAGGCGACGAUCAGUAGCUGGUCUGAGAGGAUGAUCAGCCACAUUGGGACUGAGACACGGCCCAAACUCCUACGGGAGGCAGCAGUGGGGAAUAUUGGACAAUGGGCGAAAGCCUGAUCCAGCCAUGCCGCGUGAGUGAUGAAGGCCUUAGGGUUGUAAAGCUCUUUUACCCGGGAAGAUAAUGACGGUACCGGGAGAAUAAGCCCCGGCUAACUUCGUGCCAGCAGCCGCGGUAAUACGAAGGGGGCUAGCGUUGUUCGGAAUUACUGGGCGUAAAGCGCACGUAGGCGGAUCUUUAAGUCAGGGGUGAAAUCCCGAGGCUCAACCUCGGAACUGCCUUUGAUACUGGGGAUAUCGAGUCCGGGAGAGGUGAGUGGAACUGCGAGUGUAGAGGUGAAAUUCGUAGAUAUUCGCAAGAACACCAGUGGCGAAGGCGGCUCACUGGCCCGGUACUGACGCUGAGGUGCGAAAGCGUGGGGAGCAAACAGGAUUAGAC
This 750-nucleotide ribosomal RNA is filed under the name uncultured bacterium. Its description in RNAcentral is "bacterial SSU rRNA". It matches the Rfam family "Bacterial small subunit ribosomal RNA", at positions 1 to 783 of the family's 1533-position model. The record is from RNAcentral.